Molecule: ribosomal RNA, 501 nt
Filed under: uncultured bacterium
Lineage: Bacteria
Description: bacterial SSU rRNA
Rfam family: Bacterial small subunit ribosomal RNA
Source: RNAcentral
GGUUCAGGAUGAACGCUAGCGGCAGGCUUAACACAUGCAAGUCGAGGGGCAGCGCGAGUAGCAAUACUUGGCGGCGACCGGCGCAAGGGUGCGUAACGCGUGAGCAACAUGCCCGUAUCAGGGGGAUAAUCCAGGGAAACUUGGUCUAAUACCCCAUAGUAAUUUUGUAAGGCAUCUUAUAAGAUUUAAAGCUUUGGUGGAUACGGAUUGGCUCGCGUGACAUUAGCUGGAUGGUAAGGUAACGGCUUACCAUGGCUAUGAUGUCUAGGGGUUCUGAGAGGAAUGUCCCCACACUGGAACUGAGACACGGUCCAGACUCCUACGGGAGGCAGCAGUGAGGAAUAUUGGACAAUGGAUGGAAAUCUGAUCCAGCCAUGCCGCGUGAAGGAAGAAGGUCCUAUGGAUUGUAAACUUCUUUUGUAUGGGAGCAAUAAGGCCUACGAGUAGGUUGAUGAGAGUACCAUACGAAUAAGCACCGGCUAACUCCGUGCCAGCCGCCGC